UCUUAAUAUUGGGCUUGACGA
RNAcentral lists this non-coding RNA (21 nucleotides) under Arabidopsis thaliana (thale cress). Lineage: Eukaryota; Viridiplantae; Streptophyta; Magnoliopsida; Brassicales; Brassicaceae. The record is from RNAcentral.